UGGGGAAUAUUGCACAAUGGGCGCAAGCCUGAUGCAGCCAUGCCGCGUGUAUGAAGAAGGCCUUCGGGUUGUAAAGUACUUUCAGCGGGGAGGAAGGUGUUGAGGUUAAUAACCUCAGCAAUUGACGUUACCCGCAGAAGAAGCACCGGCUAACUCCGUGCCAGCAGCCGCGGUAAUACGGAGGGAGCAAGCGUUAAUCGGAAUUACUGGGCGUAAAGCGCACGCAGGCGGUCUGUCAAGUCGGAUGUGAAAUCCCCGGGCUCAACCUGGGAACUGCAUUCGAAACUGGCAGGCUAGAGUCUUGUAGAGGGGGGUAGAAUUCCAGGUGUAGCGGUGAAAUGCGUAGAGAUCUGGAGGAAUACCGGUGGCGAAGGCGGCCCCCUGGACAAAGACUGACGCUCAGGUGCGAAAGCGUGGGGAGCAAACA
Molecule: ribosomal RNA, 427 nt
Filed under: uncultured bacterium
Lineage: Bacteria
Description: partial 16S ribosomal RNA
Rfam family: Bacterial small subunit ribosomal RNA
Source: RNAcentral